UACGUAGGGUGCAAGCGUUAAUCGGAAUUACUGGGCGUAAAGCGUGCGCAGGCGGCUUUGCAAGACAGAUGUGAAAUCCCCGGGCUUAACCUGGGAACUGCAUUUGUGACUGCAUGGCUAGAGUGCGGCAGAGGGGGAUGGAAUUCCGCGUGUAGCAGUGAAAUGCGUAGAUAUGCGGAGGAACACCGAUGGCGAAGGCAAUCCCCUGGGCCUGCACUGACGCCCAUGCACGAAAGCGUGGGGAGCAAACAGG
This 253-nucleotide ribosomal RNA is filed under the name uncultured bacterium. Its description in RNAcentral is "partial 16S ribosomal RNA". It matches the Rfam family "Bacterial small subunit ribosomal RNA", at positions 524 to 776 of the family's 1533-position model. The record is from RNAcentral.